AUUGAACGCUGGCGGCAUGCUUUACACAUGCAAGUCGAACGGCAGCGCGGGCUUCGGCCUGGCGGCGAGUGGCGUACGGGUGAGUAAUACAUCGGAACGUGCCCAGUAGUGGGGGAUAGCUCGGCGAAAGCCGGAUUAAUACCGCAUACGACCUGAGGGUGAAAGCGGGGGAUCUUCGGACCUCGCGCUAUUGGAGCGGCCGAUGGCAGAUUAGCUAGUUGGUGGGGUAAAGGCCUACCAAGGCGACGAUCUGUAGCUGGUCUGAGAGGACGACCAGCCACACUGGGACUGAGACACGGCCCAGACUCCUACGGGAGGCAGCAGUGGGGAAUUUUGGACAAUGGGCGAAAGCCUGAUCCAGCAAUGCCGCGUGUGUGAUGAAGGCCUUCGGGUUGUAAAGCACUUUUGGCGGGAACGAAAAGGACUGUGCCAAUACCACGGUUCGAUGACGGUACCCGCAGAAUAAGCACCGGCUAACUACGUG
This 484-nucleotide ribosomal RNA is filed under the name uncultured bacterium. Its description in RNAcentral is "partial 16S ribosomal RNA". It matches the Rfam family "Bacterial small subunit ribosomal RNA", at positions 29 to 507 of the family's 1533-position model. The record is from RNAcentral.